RNAcentral lists this ribosomal RNA (497 nucleotides) under uncultured bacterium. RNAcentral's name for it is "partial 16S ribosomal RNA". It matches the Rfam family "Bacterial small subunit ribosomal RNA", at positions 28 to 507 of the family's 1533-position model. The record is from RNAcentral.
GAUGAACGCUGGCGGCGUGCCUAAUACAUGCAAGUCGAGCGAACGGACGAGAAGCUUGCUUCUCUGAUGUUAGCGGCGGACGGGUGAGUAACACGUGGAUAACCUACCUAUAAGACUGGGAUAACUUCGGGAAACCGGAGCUAAUACCGGAUAAUAUUUUGAACCGCAUGGUUCAAAAGUGAAAGACGGUCUUGCUGUCACUUAUAGAUGGAUCCGCGCUGCAUUAGCUAGUUGGUAAGGUAACGGCUUACCAAGGCAACGAUGCAUAGCCGACCUGAGAGAGUGAUCGGCCACACUGGAACUGAGACACGGUCCAGACUCCUACGAGAGGCAGCAGUAGGGAAUCUUCCGCGAUGGGCGAAAGCCUGACGGAGCAACGCCGCGUGAGUGAUGAAGGUCUUCGGAUCGUAAAACUCUGUUAUUAGGGAAGAACAUAUGUGUAAGUAACUGUGCACAUCUUGACGGUACCUAAUCAGAAAGCCACGGCUAACUACGUG